This 207-nucleotide ribosomal RNA is filed under the name uncultured delta proteobacterium. Its description in RNAcentral is "partial 16S ribosomal RNA". It matches the Rfam family "Bacterial small subunit ribosomal RNA", at positions 568 to 774 of the family's 1533-position model. The record is from RNAcentral. Lineage: Bacteria; Deltaproteobacteria.
CGCGUAGGCGGUCUCUUAAGUCAGAUGUGAAAUCCCUCGGCUUAACCGAGGAAGUGCAUUUGAUACUAGGAGACUUGAGUAUGGGAGAGGGAAGCGGAAUUCCUGGUGUAGCGGUGAAAUGCGUAGAUAUCAGGAGGAACACCGGUGGCGAAGGCGGCUUCCUGGACCAAUACUGACGCUGAGGCGCGAAGGCGUGGGGAGCAAACA